Bactrocera neohumeralis is the source of this 276-nucleotide long non-coding RNA. RefSeq lists it as uncharacterized. The record is from RefSeq and is a predicted model, not a curated record. Lineage: Eukaryota; Metazoa; Arthropoda; Insecta; Diptera; Tephritidae. The transcript has 2 exons.
AGCGGGAUAAUGGUUCACCGCUUACAUUUUUCUUUGAAGAAUACUUCGAAGAAAAUUCGAUGUAGAAUUCUUCGAUACCUGGUAAUGCAUAAAAGUAAGCUAUGCGGAACUUCGCUUACAUUUUUCUUGAAGAAUACUUCGAAGAAAAUUCUAUGUAGAAUUCUUCGAUACCAGGUAAUGCAUAAAAGUAAGCUAUACGGCUAAAUUCUACUGUGUUCAUAUUUACAAAUCAAGUAAGUACAUGAAAAACGACAAAUACAAAUUGAUGGAAUAAAA